Molecule: ribosomal RNA, 554 nt
Filed under: uncultured beta proteobacterium
Lineage: Bacteria; Pseudomonadati; Pseudomonadota; Betaproteobacteria
Description: bacterial SSU rRNA
Rfam family: Bacterial small subunit ribosomal RNA
Source: RNAcentral
GCAUGCCUUACACAUGCAAGUCGAGCGGCAGCGCGGGGGCAACCCUGGCGGCGAGCGGCGAACGGGUGAGUAAAGCAUCGGAACGUAUCCAUUAAUGGGGGAUAGGCCGGCGAAAGCCGGGUUAAUACCGCAUACGCCCUGAGGGGGAAAGUGGGGGAUUCGCAAGGACCUCACGUUAUUGGAGCGGCCGAUGUCGGAUUAGCUAGUUGGUGAGGUAAAGGCUUACCAAGGCGACGAUCCGUAGCUGGUUUGAGAGAACGACCAGCCACACUGGGACUGAGACACGGCCCAGACUCCUACGGGAGGCAGCAGUGGGGAAUUUUGGACAAUGGGGGCAACCCUGAUCCAGCCAUGCCGCGUGAGUGAAGAAGGCCUUCGGGUUGUAAAGCUCUUUCGGCGGGGACAAAACAGCCACUCCUAAUAAGGGUGGUUAAUGAUGGUACCCGAAGAAGAAGCACCGGCUAACUACGUGCCAGCAGCCGCGGUAAUACGUAGGGUGCGAGCGUUAAUCGGAAUUACUGGGCGUAAAGCGUGCGCAGGUGGUUUCGUAAGUC